Molecule: non-coding RNA, 170 nt
Organism: Lepisosteus oculatus (spotted gar)
Lineage: Eukaryota; Metazoa; Chordata; Actinopteri; Semionotiformes; Lepisosteidae
Source: RefSeq, a predicted model, not a curated record
ACCAUGCUGAAACAGCCCAGCUACAGCGGUGUCUGGGCGAAAAGGUCACCCACAUGGAUUCUGUUGCUGAUUCUCUCAUCAGUCUCCUCGGAACACGUCCCGGUGGCGGCGAAAUUUGGGGAUUCGGUCACUCUGCCCUGCGACGGAAAACCCUACAGCCUUGGGAUCCC